GACGAACGCUGGCGGCGUGCUUAACACAUGCAAGUAGAACGAUGAAGCUAGAGCUUGCUCUGGUGAAUUAGUGGCGAACGGGUGAGUAACACGUGAGUAACCUGCCCCGAACUCUGGGAUAACUGCUGGAAACGGUAGCUAAUACUGGAUACGACCUACGAAGGCAUCUUCUGUAGGUGGAAAGAAUUUCGGUUCGGGAUGGACUCGCGGCCUAUCAGCUUGUUGGUGAGGUAAUGGCUCACCAAGGCGACGACGGGUAGCCGGCCUGAGAGGGUGACCGGCCACACUGGGACUGAGACACGGCCCAGACUCCUACGGGAGGCAGCAGUGGGGAAUAUUGCACAAUGGGCGCAAGCCUGAUGCAGCAACGCCGCGUGAGGGAUGACGGCCUUCGGGUUGUAAACCUCUUUUAGUAGGGAAGAAGCGAAAGUGACGGUACCUGCAGAAAAAGCACCGGCUAACUACAUGCCAGCAGCCGCCGUAA
RNAcentral lists this ribosomal RNA (484 nucleotides) under uncultured bacterium. Its description in RNAcentral is "partial 16S ribosomal RNA". It matches the Rfam family "Bacterial small subunit ribosomal RNA", at positions 28 to 523 of the family's 1533-position model. The record is from RNAcentral.